This is a long non-coding RNA of Oncorhynchus keta (chum salmon), 2237 nucleotides long. RefSeq lists it as uncharacterized. The record is from RefSeq and is a predicted model, not a curated record. Lineage: Eukaryota; Metazoa; Chordata; Actinopteri; Salmoniformes; Salmonidae. The transcript is spliced from 6 exons.
ACAAACGUGAGAUGGCUGAGUUUGGGGAAAGUGCUUAAAAGGGUGUGGGACCUGAAAUCGGAGAUUGCUGAGUUUUUGCAAAUGAAAGGGAAAAUAUGAGGAUUUCCCACAACUGCAACAUAAAGAAUGGUUGGCUGGUUUUGCCUUUACUGUGGACAUCAUGGACCUCAUGAAUGAUCUGAAUUCCACACUACAAUGGAAGGACCUUUUUGCACAUCAGAUGUACAGCCUUGUCAAAGCCUUCAAGGGAAAAUGUCUCCUCCUGACCCGCCAAGUAGAAGCCAACAAUCUCACCCAAUGUCUGACACUACUAGUCUGUUCCCUAUCAGAUGAUGAGCGGGAGAAGUAUACAUCACUGCGGCGAUACAUCACUGCUGCGUGCUUUGAAAGUGAUUUCUCAGAGCACUGAAAUGCAAUCCAACGGCUCAAAUGGUGCGGAGAUGUGUACGUCACUGACCUGAACGGGCUCCUCUAGGACUCCACUGCAGAUGGGGCACAGCAGGUCCUCAUCCACUUCCCCCUGGAACCGGGUGACGUCGUAGCCCAUGGCACAUCACCGGAACCAACUACAACCUGCAGCACAGCAUCAGUAGAACACUCCUAACUCUCCUCCACCAGUCAUACAAGGAGAAUGGUCUAAUGCCUCCCAUCAAAAAGAGAGCUGGCCCAAGCAAGCACAGGUUACACCUGAGUCAUGAGGACUUGCAAGUGGUGAACUUCAACAACUACGCAGAGGAUAAUGCAAUCGUGUUACCAGGACGCCACCCAGGACACAAAAACACUUUGGUGGAAAGCUGCUGCCAUCCCAUGUGACAAAAGCAGCAGUGUGGCGUCUCUACAAGGAAUCGAUGACAACACUUGAGGUACGUGUAGUCAUACUUCCAGUUUCCAAGAUGAUGUUCUUUCUGUAUGCAGUGCUGCUGCUCUGCACAUUUGUAGGUGCACUAUCCUUCUGACCCUAUGCCAGGUCCCAUUUACUUUUUAACUCCUCGCAAAUCGGGCUUGUUUAGUGUCUGCUGUGAAGGAAUACCACAACAAGUCAACUACUUGAUUGAUGAAGGUAUGUCAUCCAGCAAAGGCAGCAGCGCAGUCAACUACAUGCACCAUUUCUUCACCAACUAGUUGGAGAAAAACACAUGUUGACCUGAAUGGUGAUAACUGCAGUGGCCAAAACAAGAACAAGUUUGUGCUCUGGUAUUGUGCCUGGCGGACCAUUCACAAGCUCCACCACAGUCUGGACCUUCACUUCCUGAUCACAGACCACACCAAGUUUGACCCCGACUGGUGCUUUGGCCUCAUCAAGCAGCUCUUCAGAAAGACCAGAGUGAACACUGUGAGAUUUCUGCUGUUGUGAAGGACAGCACUGUGACAGGGGUCAACAUCCCACAGCUGGUUGGACUGGAGGAUGGUACGGUGCUGGUGGAAAGCUAUGGCUGGCAACAACACCUGACUACAUACUUCAGGCCUCUGCCACAGAUCAAGCAGUAUCAGCGCGUCGGCUUCGAUGCUCUGGAGCCUGGUGUUUUCGCAAAGGAGCGUUCGGACUCAGUCGGGACCAGGUUUCAGCUGUUGCGCAAUGCUGACAUCCUUCCUCCCAUAGAUGGUCUGCCUGUACAAGCACCACCUGGACUGGACACAGCUCGACAGAUCAGGGAGUUUUGUGACGAAAAGGCUAUGGACAUCACAUCUAUUUUGAUAUUGCUACUAUGCAAGUAACCAUUUGGCUGUACCGUUUAUACCCUCUUUAGAGACCCAUCCACUUGGCAAUAUGUGGCUGGGGAUUAUAGCAUUUCUUUCACAUGGCCCAUCAAUUUAGACAAGUGUGUCUGGGUAAGCAUCAUCUAAUUUAUUGUUUACCUGGAUUUUUUAAAUUAAUCUUUACUACACUACUCGCUUUUUAGCACAUGACCUCACAUGUGAAUCCUUAAGAGAAGGGUGGGGCUGGCUGAAGGGGGUGUGAACAAUGCUGAAUGGGUGUCGACAAAGGAGAGCUCUCCAGUAGGUACAAAAACAUUGAAAGAACAUUCUCAAAAGUGAGUUUACAAGUUUAUCAACUUUCAAAGCAUAAUUACUUUCCCAUUAUUCCUCAAAUGCAGUGUAUGAUAUACCAUUUUGUAGCUCUGAGUCUACUUUUAUCCAAUGUAAAAAAUAAAAAAAACAUUUUGCUACAUAAGACCGAUUUGAGUCAGUCAUAUUUACGGUGUGGAUACUUCUUAGGCAUCAGUGCACUUUGAAAU